UGACCUGUCAAAUUCAACGUCUCCAUUGGAGUUAGCUACCCUUUCUUUAUUACUUGUGUACUAAUAAUCAAUACUAUUUGCCUUCACUUUCCUGAACAAGAUUAGUUUCAGUGUAGUAUUGGUGGGAAAAGCAUUUAUGAGGAUAAUGCAACGCAGAGUAUUGAGCCAAAAUUUGUGCAGUUUGAUUUGAAGGUGCAGUGGUGAGAAUGGGGCGUGGUGUUUGCAAUGCAGGAGGACAAAGCUCAUUGGGCUACCUCUUUGGAGGAGCUUCUCUACCAACAGAAGAUACUCCUGCAAACAAUGGCAAUAACAACAAACUAAUUUCAAACACCCACAUUACAGAUACAGACACUCAAAAUAGAGGAAAAUCCAAUACUAGGACUUCUAUAAAAGUGCAGAGCGUACCAGGAGGAGAUUCUUCUCUUGGCUAUCUUUUUGGAGGACAGAAAUGAGAAGCUGUGCUCGUCGUAUCAUAUUUCAUGGUAUAUAUUGAAAUUGCUGCUUUGUCGAUUGUUAACUUAUGUGUGAAAUAAAGGUUUGCCUAAGAAGGAAACGAUGGCCUUUGUACAUCUCAUAGUGCAGAAUUAUUGUUCUUUAACUGCAUUGAGAUUUGUUUGUGGAUAGUUUCAAACAAUUCUGCAGACUAUUGUUUCUUUAUCUUGAUGUAUUUCUAUACCUUUCAUUCAAAUAUGUUUUCACUCUUCUCUCC
Long non-coding RNA from Cryptomeria japonica (Japanese cedar), 709 nucleotides. RefSeq lists it as uncharacterized. The transcript has 2 exons. The record is from RefSeq and is a predicted model, not a curated record. NCBI's taxonomy places the organism in Eukaryota, Viridiplantae, Streptophyta, Pinopsida, Cupressales, Cupressaceae.